This 253-nucleotide ribosomal RNA is filed under the name uncultured bacterium. RNAcentral describes it as "partial 16S ribosomal RNA". It matches the Rfam family "Bacterial small subunit ribosomal RNA", at positions 524 to 776 of the family's 1533-position model. The record is from RNAcentral.
UACGUAGGGAGCAAGCGUUGUCCGGAAUCAUUGGGCGUAAAGCGCGCGUAGGCGGCCUCAUAAGUCCGUUGUGAAAGUCAAAGGCUCAACCUUUGAAAGCCGAUGGAUACUGUGAGGCUAGAGUCCGGAAGAGGCGAGUGGAAUUCCUGGUGUAGCGGUGAAAUGCGCAGAUAUCAGGAGGAACACCAAUGGCGAAGGCAGCUCGCUGGGACGGUACUGACGCUGAGACGCGAAAGCGUGGGGAGCAAACAGG